Long non-coding RNA from Carica papaya (papaya), 1626 nucleotides. RefSeq lists it as uncharacterized. Lineage: Eukaryota; Viridiplantae; Streptophyta; Magnoliopsida; Brassicales; Caricaceae. The record is from RefSeq and is a predicted model, not a curated record.
GCACCAAUUGGUAACCAUUGAAGAAACUAAACCACCAAUAUAGGCUGUUUCCAUCAGCAGUGGCAAGGGGUCAAUCGCCCGUCCAGCAAUUUCGCAGGUAAAGAAAGCUUUUGUUCAUCCAGAUUCCCCUUUGUUUCGCAAGUAUACCUCAAAUUAUGUCUUUAUGAAAUAAAUAAAUUUCAUUAUUUGAUUGUUAUAGGAUUAUCUUGAAUUCUUUAAAAAUUAAAACAAAUAUUUCAAAUUUUAUGGCUAUUUUUCUUUAAUACGCUAUUUAUAAUUUAUUUGCAUAAAACUGAAUAAGUAGAACAAAUUAAAAAUUCCACAUAUUUUUUAAUAUAUACUCACCGCGUUUCCUUUCGUCGGGAGUGGAAGUCAUCUGCCACGGAGUUCCCACCUCAAGCAAACCGAGGGGCUUGCCACCCGCAUAGCACGCGCAAAAAGUCACACUGUAGUUCCACCGUGCCUCGCUGCCAUCACCAAUUUCAGCUUAUUCCACCAAAUUUUAGACCGGCCGAUGUCAUGCCUUGCUUAGGACGCUCCAGUUUCCUUCUUCGGCGGAGAUUUGCUGCUGUCUGCCGACAGAGCAGCGAUUUCCGGGGACAGAGGCGCCGUGAUAUUUCCGACACAAAUUUUUCCAAUUUGGUCAACUCUGCGACAGUUGGCUUGAAAAACCAUCAUAGUCGUGUUCAUCAUGGCUACAGCAGGCUUGAAAAACCACGCCUUGUUCCUUAACUAGCAGCUCCAGUGCGUUUUUGGCUCCACGGGUAAUUUUUUCAAUGCAUUCGAGGUCGGGUUUCACUCAGCAUCUUCUACAUCAAUUGAAAGCCCAAUUUAACAUGAAGAACAUGUUACUCUCCACAACUUCUUGGGAAUCCAGGUCACUCCAAAUAAGAAAUGAUUUUUUUUUUUUCCAGACCAAACAAAAUAUGCAGACGAAUGUAUUCUCAUUCUCAAUUUCAGGGAAAAUGGUCUAAUGACCCUAUUCCUCUCUUCAUGAUCAAACAAUUUACUGCUGCCUAGUUGGUUCUCUCCAGAACCUGAGUUUCACUGAAGCUGAUAUCUGUUUUGCAGUAAACCAAGUCUGUCAGUUUAAGCAUUCUCCCAGAGAUGAUCAUCUUCAGGUUGUGAAACAUAUUCUUUGCCACACAUGCUAUGCUCUGCUCUGCAGUAUGAUUUGCUACUUUAUUCAAGCAUUCCGGAUGUUGAUUGUGCAGGAUGUCCAAAUACCUAUAAGUUAACCGUCAGGAACAAUCAACUGUAUUUUGCUCCUGUGUUGAAGUCGAGUAUCUGCCGUAGCUUUUACACUUGCUUUUCUUUCUUUUCUUUUUUUUUUUUUUUUUUUUUGGAUUCUUAACUUAUCUUAAUAUGAAGACCAUCCUGUUCUAUUCAUGUGCACCCAUUAUUUGGUCUAAUAAUGUUGGGAACACCUGUAUGGCCUUCAAUUCAAUAUGCAUCUCCCAAAACAUGCGUGAUUAGUGAUCUAUUUUGUACAAGGGGGUGUUCUUGCCAGUGAACUCUGGUAUAUUCCUUCUGAAGGUAAGUUGAGGAUAAUAUGUUCACAAAAGUCUUACAGUUCAAUUAUUGGAGGCUGAGUCUGUGCAUGUUGUCACACUCAGAUUUAGGGGA